This 305-nucleotide ribosomal RNA is filed under the name uncultured bacterium. RNAcentral's name for it is "bacterial SSU rRNA". It matches the Rfam family "Bacterial small subunit ribosomal RNA", at positions 333 to 631 of the family's 1533-position model. The record is from RNAcentral.
CCGGGCCUACGGGACGCCGCAGUAGGGAAUUUUCGUCAAUGGGCGCAAGCCUGAACGAGCAAUGCCGCGUGAACGAGGAAGGUCUUCGGAUCGUAAAGUUCUGUUGAAGGGGAAAAAGAGCGGAGAGAGGAAAUGAACUCCGAUUGAUAUUACCCUUCGAGGAAGUCACGGCUAACUACGUGCCAGCAGCCGCGGUAAUACGUAGGUGGCGAGCGUUAUCCGGAAUGAUUGGGCGUAAAGGGUGCGUAGGCGGCCUGCUAAGUCUGGAGUGAAAGGUACCGGCUCAACCGGUACAGGCUCUGGAA